RNAcentral lists this small RNA (127 nucleotides) under Marmota monax (woodchuck). Lineage: Eukaryota; Metazoa; Chordata; Mammalia; Rodentia; Sciuridae. The record is from RNAcentral.
GCCAGGCAUGGUGGCUCAUGUCUAUAAUCCCAGCCGCUAAGGAGGCUGAGGCAGGAGGAUCUUGAGUUCAAGGCCAGCCUCAGCAACUCAGUGUGGCCCUAAGCAACUUAGCAAGACCCUAUCUCUA